GCAGUGAAACCAGAGAUCAAAUCUUAAUUUAUCUAGAUUAAACCUUUACGGAGGCCUAGAUAUGUAGACCCUCUACUUCUCAUACAUGCCAAAUGCCACAGGAAAGUGGAAUGAACUCCAAUCUAAUUGCCUUCACAAGCCAACCAAAUGAGGGAGAAGAUAUGUUGGUGUGACACCUCACACCAGCAGAUGAGAUGCCCAAGAAGGAUCCACACCCAA
RNAcentral lists this long non-coding RNA (219 nucleotides) under Elaeis guineensis (African oil palm). Its description in RNAcentral is "long non-coding RNA (EGUI_LNC075545)". Lineage: Eukaryota; Viridiplantae; Streptophyta; Magnoliopsida; Arecales; Arecaceae. The record is from RNAcentral.